UACGUAGGGACCAAGCGUUGUUCGGAUUUACUGGGCGUAAAGGGCGCGUAGGCGGCCCGCUAAGUCGAACGUGAAAUCCCCGGGCUCAACCUGGGAACUGCAUCCGAGACUGCAUUGCUAGAGUAUGGGAGAGGGAAGCGGAAUUUCUGGUGUAGCAGUGAAAAGCGUAGAUAUCAGAAGGAACAUCAGUGGCGAAGGCGGCUUCCUGGACCAAUACUGACGAUCAGGUGCGAAAGCGUGGGGAGCAAACAGG
Molecule: ribosomal RNA, 253 nt
Filed under: uncultured bacterium
Lineage: Bacteria
Description: partial 16S ribosomal RNA
Rfam family: Bacterial small subunit ribosomal RNA
Source: RNAcentral